AGGACGAACGCUGGCGGCGUGCUUAACACAUGCAAGUCGAGCGGAAAGGCCCUUCGGGGUACUCGAGCGGCGAACGGGUGAGUAACACGUGAGCAACCUGCCCUCAGCUCUGGGAUAGCUCCCGGAAAACGGGAAUUAAUACCGGAUACGACCCCAACUGACAUCGGUCAGGGUGGAAAGGAUUCCGGCUGAGGAUGGACUCGCGGCCUAUCAGCUAGUUGGUGGAGUAACGGCCCACAAGGCGACGACGGGUA
Molecule: ribosomal RNA, 254 nt
Filed under: uncultured bacterium
Lineage: Bacteria
Description: partial small subunit ribosomal RNA
Rfam family: Bacterial small subunit ribosomal RNA
Source: RNAcentral